AACGAACGCUGGCGGCAGGCCUAACACAUGCAAGUCGAGCGCGCCCUUCGGGGUGAGCGGCGGACGGGUGAGUAACGCGUGGGAACGUGCCCUUUUCUACGGAAUAGCCUCGGGAAACUGAGAGUAAUACCGUAUACGCCCUUUGGGGGAAAGAUUUAUCGGAAAAGGAUCGGCCCGCGUUGGAUUAGGUAGUUGGUGGGGUAAUGGCCUACCAGGCCGACGAUCCAUAGCUGGUUUGAGAGGAUGAUCAGCCACACUGGGACUGAGACACGGCCCAGACUCCUACGGGAGGCAGCAGUGGGGAAUCUUAGACAAUGGGGGCAACCCUGAUCUAGCCAUGCCGCGUGAGUGAUGAAGGCCUUAGGGUUGAAAAGCUCUUUCAGCUGGGAAGAUAAUGACGGUACCAGCAGAAGAAGCCCCGGCUAACUCCGUG
This 433-nucleotide ribosomal RNA is filed under the name uncultured bacterium. RNAcentral's name for it is "partial 16S ribosomal RNA". It matches the Rfam family "Bacterial small subunit ribosomal RNA", at positions 29 to 507 of the family's 1533-position model. The record is from RNAcentral.